UAAUCGAUGAGGAAAGGGCUAUCCGUUAGAUGAAGCCGCCUCUAAGUGAAAGGCCACUCUUAGGAGGAAAGGGCUAUCAACGAGAUGGAGCCGUCUCUCGAUUCUUUCGUAACGAAUUAUUUUAUUUGAUUGAAUUUCUAUAUUCUUAUCUUAUUUCAAUUUUUAAACUCUAUAACGAAUUGAAUCGAAUAUUAUUUAUAUUACAUAGUUACUACUAUACAAUGAUUGUUACAAGCUUCUAAAAAAUCAAACGCUCGUGCCUUUGUGUGUUUCCCAUCUAGUUGGUAGUGGUUGUUAUCUCUCACUAAGUCUUUGUGACUUACCCCUUCUUCUUACAUUUUUUCAGAUUUCCAGUCAGCUGAGUAGCAAGUUGUUAGCUCAUUCAAAUCUUCAUCAGUCUCACUCUUUUGGUAGGCCUCCUUUAUGGAAGGCUAAUUUGUAUAUGUAUCUUUUGGUUUGAUCGAAUAUCUGCAGCUAUUUUGAGUCUAGGAAUAUUUCAUUUUGGAAUGUACAAAGUUAAGAACGUAAAUGUUGAAACUUUGACUAGUGAUGUAUAUGCUGCAAACAGGGUU
This 572-nucleotide long non-coding RNA is filed under the name Trifolium pratense (red clover). RNAcentral describes it as "long non-coding RNA (TPRA_LNC001688)". The record is from RNAcentral. Lineage: Eukaryota; Viridiplantae; Streptophyta; Magnoliopsida; Fabales; Fabaceae.